This 406-nucleotide ribosomal RNA is filed under the name uncultured bacterium. RNAcentral's name for it is "partial 16S ribosomal RNA". It matches the Rfam family "Bacterial small subunit ribosomal RNA", at positions 29 to 526 of the family's 1533-position model. The record is from RNAcentral.
AUUGAACGCUGGCGGCAGGCUUAACACAUGCAAGUCGAGCGAGCGGCGGACGGGUGAGUAAUGUCUGGGAAACUGCCCGAUGGAGGGGGAUAACUACUGGAAACGGUAGCUAAUACCGCAUACUAUCAGAUGCGCCCAGAUGGGAUUAGCUAGUAGGUGGGGAAAUGGCUCACCUAGGCGACGAGCCCUAGCUGGUCUGAGAGGAUGACCAGCCACACUGGAACUGAGACAAGGUGCAGACUCCGACGGGAGGCAGCAGUGGGGAAUAUUGCACAAUUGGGGCAAGCCUGAUGAAGCCAUGCCGCGGGUGUGAAGAAGGCCUUCGGGUUGUAAAGCACUUUCAGCGAGGAGGCGUUACUCGCAGAAGAAGCACCGGCUAACUCCGUGCCAGCAGCCGCGGUAAUAC